This 518-nucleotide unclassified non-coding RNA is filed under the name uncultured Glomus. Its description in RNAcentral is "SSU rRNA". It matches the Rfam family "Eukaryotic small subunit ribosomal RNA", at positions 569 to 1089 of the family's 1831-position model. Lineage: Eukaryota; Fungi; Glomeromycota; Glomeromycetes; Glomerales; Glomeraceae. The record is from RNAcentral.
AGCAGCCGCGGUAAUUCCAGCUCCAAUAGCGUAUAUUAAAGUUGUUGCAGUUAAAAGCUCGUAGUUGAAUUUCGGGGUCAGCAAGUUGGUCGUGCCACCGGUAUGUACUGGCUUUGCUGAUUCCUCCUUCUUGUAGAACCGUAAUGCCAUUUAGUUGGUGUUGCGGGGAAACAGGACUGUUACUUUGAAAAAUUGAGUGUUUAAAGCAGGCUAACGCCUGAAUACAUUAGCAUGGAAUAAUGAAAUAGGACGAGCGAUCCUAUUUUGUUGGUUUCUAGGAUUGACGUAAUGAUUAAUAGGGAUAGUUGGGGGCAUUAGUAUUCAAUUGUCAGAGGUGAAAUUCUUGGAUUUAUUGAAGACUGACUACUGCGAAAGCAUUUGCCAAGGAUGUUUUCAUUAAUCAAGAACGAAAGUUAGGGAUCGAAGACGAUCAGAUACCGUCGUAGUCUUAACCAUAAACUAUGCCGACUAGGGAUCGGAUGAUGUUUAAUUUUUAAUGUACUCAUUCGGCGUACCCG